This 347-nucleotide RNase P RNA is filed under the name Clostridia bacterium. RNAcentral describes it as "RNase P RNA component class A". It matches the Rfam family "Bacterial RNase P class A". Rfam says of the family: Ribonuclease P (RNase P) is a ubiquitous endoribonuclease, found in archaea, bacteria and eukarya as well as chloroplasts and mitochondria. Its best characterised activity is the generation of mature 5'-ends of tRNAs by cleaving the 5'-leader elements of precursor-tRNAs. Cellular RNase Ps are ribonucleoproteins. The record is from RNAcentral. Lineage: Bacteria; Bacillati; Bacillota; Clostridia.
CGACUGGGGUGAACAAUCGCGCUGGACAGAAAUGUCGGUGAGGAAAGUCCGGGCUUCACAGAGCAGGAUAACGGAUAACGUCCGCCGGAGGCGACUCCCGGGAUAGUGCAACAGAGAUAUACCGCCGUAUUUUUACGGUAAGGGUGGAAAGGCGAGGUAAGAGCUCACCGGCGUGGUGGUGACAUCACGGCCCUGUAAACCCUAUCCGAAGCAACACCGAAUGCAGAGAGCUUUAAGCUACGUUUGCUCGACGGAAUCUGUGAGGUGGCAACAGAGCUUUAUGGCAACAUAAAGCCAAGAUAGAUGAUUGUUCUCGACAGAACCCGGCUUACAGCCCCAGUCGCGGG